RNAcentral lists this ribosomal RNA (459 nucleotides) under uncultured bacterium. RNAcentral's name for it is "partial 16S ribosomal RNA". It matches the Rfam family "Bacterial small subunit ribosomal RNA", at positions 338 to 795 of the family's 1533-position model. The record is from RNAcentral.
CCUACGGGUGGCUGCAGUGAGGAAUAUUGGUCAAUGGGCGCGAGCCUGAACCAGCCAAGUCGCGUGAGGGAAGACGGUCCUCUGGAUUGUAAACCUCUUUUGUCGGGGAGCAAAAGACGCCACGCGUGGCGUUCCGACAGUACCCGACUAAACAGCAUCGGCUAACUCCGUGCCAGCAGCCGCGGUAAUACGGAGGAUGCGAGCGUUAUCCGGCUUUAUUGGGUUGAACGGGUGGGCAGGAGGAAGAUAAAGUCAGAGGUAAAAGUGAGAGGCUCAACCUCUUCGAGCCGUUGAAACUGGUUGGCUGGAGUGAGUGAGAGGUAUGCGGAAUGCGUGGUGUAGCGGUGAAAUGCAUAGAUAUCACGAAGAACACCGAUUGCGAAGGCAGCAUACCGGCGCUCAACUGACGCUCAGGCACGAAAGUGUGGGUAGCGAACAGGAUUAGAUACCAUUGUAGUC